GUCUCAGGAUAUUACUGAAGAACUAAGCCUAUUUUUCCCAAAAGAGUGUAGGUAAUUAUUUCCAUUAUACUGUGAUGCCUGUAUUUCAUUCUGUUAUCAGUCUGAUGCAGAUACAGUUCCUUGUGGAAACAGGGCAACAGUUACUACUAAAUGAAAUAAAGGGUGGCCAUAGCAGAUAAAUAAUUUAGUUAGUUUUUGCUUAUGUCUGAUAUAAUUCAAAUUUAAUACAGUGCUAGUGUCUUAUUUUGCAAAGUACACCAUAUUAGGAUUUCUCUUUGUCCCUUCUGAAAAAAGCCUUCUUAGCCACUCCUACUGAUCUUUCUAUUCACAGGAAGGUGUCAAUUAGUGUUGCUUGAAGAAUGUGGGGAGGUGAAAUGGCUGAGUAUGUCUCUACUCUGCAAAAUCAGUUAGUAAUGUAGAGCAGCUGCAUGGCACACUUCAGUGAUGCUGUGCUAACUUUUUCUUGUCACUCUGAUACUGUGGGAUGCUCAAGACAUUGUGAUAUAGUAAGUUUGGCUCAAUGUCUCUGUAGGAGCUGGUGAAGUCUCUUGCUGUAAAAGCCUUCUUCCUACAUUAAAAGCACAGUUUGAGAUGGUACAUGUUUUCACACUAAGAGUUGCUUUUGCCCCUGUCUUCAUAGGUUAUCAGCGUCAGCUGCUCUACAAGCAUGAUGAUGGCUCCUACAGUGCCUUUGGGAAGUCUGACACCCAGGGCAACACAUGGCUGACAGCUUUUGUGGCCAGGUCCUUUGGGCAGGCCAGCUCUUACAUUUACAUCA
Meleagris gallopavo (turkey) is the source of this 778-nucleotide non-coding RNA. NCBI's taxonomy places the organism in Eukaryota, Metazoa, Chordata, Aves, Galliformes, Phasianidae. The record is from RefSeq and is a predicted model, not a curated record.